This 77-nucleotide transfer RNA is filed under the name Planctomycetales bacterium. Its description in RNAcentral is "tRNA-Leu". It matches the Rfam family "tRNA". Rfam says of the family: Transfer RNA (tRNA) molecules are approximately 80 nucleotides in length. Their secondary structure includes four short double-helical elements and three loops (D, anti-codon, and T loops). The record is from RNAcentral. Lineage: Bacteria; Pseudomonadati; Planctomycetota; Planctomycetia; Planctomycetales.
GCUCCAGGUCGUUUAAUUGGAAGGACGUUCUUGCCCGAGAGGCAAGAUUGUGUGGGUUCGAAUCCCACUCUGGAGCA